CUGUGUGCUCUGAGUGAGGGUCUGAGUCACCUGCCAUUUUGCUGGAGGAGCCCCUUGGGCCUUAGUAAACAUUUACAAUGUCUUUCAUCUUUGAGUGGAUCUACCGAGGCUUCAGCAGUGUGCCCCAGUUCCUAGGACUUGACAAGAAAUCUGGAAAACUUGGGUUCUUAGGUUUAAACAAUACAGGCAAAACAAUUCUUCUUCACAUGAUCAAAGAUGACAGAUUGGGCCAACAUAUUCCAACACUACAUCUGACAUCAGAAGAGCUAACAAUUGCUGGAAUGACUUUUACAACUUUUCACCUUGGUCGGCACGAGCAAGCAUGCCGGGUUUGGAAAAAUUGUCUCCCAGCAAUGAAUGGGAUUGUCUUUCUGGUGGACUGUGCAGAUCUUUCUUACCUUAUGGAAUCCAAAGUUGAACUUAAUGCUUUAAUGACUGAUGAAACAAUAUCCAAUGUGCCAAUCCUUAUCCUGGGUAACAAAAUUGACAGAACAGAUACAAUCAAUGCAGAAAAACUCCGUGAGAUAUUUGAGCUUUAUGGAGAGACCACAGGAAAGGGGAAUGUGACCCUGAAAGAGCUGAAUGUUCUCCCUAUGGAAGUGUUCAUGUGCAGUGCACUCAAGAGGCAAGCCUACAGGGAGGGUUUCUGAAGUUUUGACAGUGAAAAUAAGAGUAUUACUU
RNA transcript from Cercocebus atys (sooty mangabey), 681 nucleotides. It is a transcript of the gene named GTP-binding protein SAR1a pseudogene, with no coding region annotated. The record is from RefSeq and is a predicted model, not a curated record. The transcript has a single exon. NCBI's taxonomy places the organism in Eukaryota, Metazoa, Chordata, Mammalia, Primates, Cercopithecidae.